Molecule: long non-coding RNA, 1639 nt
Filed under: Salmo salar (Atlantic salmon)
Lineage: Eukaryota; Metazoa; Chordata; Actinopteri; Salmoniformes; Salmonidae
Description: lncRNA (ENSSSAG00000115233.1)
Source: RNAcentral
UUGAAACUCUGAAAAUAAAUACAUGGUCAAAUGUUACCAAACAUGAUAAUAAUAGGCCUUUAUUACAGUAGGCAGCUAAUUGUUAAAUUACACUUUCCAUCUUUACCUUGGAAGGUCACCGUCUCUGCGCUGAUCGCAUGUGAGUGAGACAACGCUAGCUAGCCAAUGGGAGUGUAGUAGAACGUCCGUCUGAAUAACGGGGAGUGGUUUUGGCUUAACUGCGUUGGGAAAAAGAAAGACACCCAUCAGACACAUGAAGAAAUGGUUAAAAAUGGGAACGCUUCGACGACCACCUGUCACGAUUCUUUAAAGCUGAACCCAGAAGCAGACCAGGACAAGGUGAGUAAAAUGAAGGUGAGUAUUUAUUUACAGUCUCGAGGUGAAAAAUAGAAUAAUCCAGGAGACGGAGCGGCAGCGGAGGUGAGUUGAUGAGAGUGAAUAGGCAGAUCCAAUGAUGUCACUGAAACCACCGACGGCCAGGCAGGGGAGUUGAAUGUUCCGGGAGGAUGACUGUAGACAGAGUAAACGGGGGUGAGUAACAGAAAAAAAGUACAGAACAACAAACCUAACUCUGGUAACAUGAUGCUGACACAACAUACUGUUCAUUGCUAACGAUCCGGCAGGGAAUGGAUGUCAGGGCUUAUGAAGAGAAGAGGUGAUGAUCAGGACCAGGUGUGCUGAUGAGAUGCAGGUGCGGGUAAUCAAGAGUUCUCCCGCCUAGCUUCGUCGCCUGGCAACCAGACAAGGGGUUCGAGCCUGACUGCAGUGCUGGGGAUGAGGACAGGGAGCCCCAGAUCUCUGACCAGGCCCAGCUCCUCAAGCAGAGGGCCCUGAAGAAGAUCCCCCAAAAGCAGAGGAGGAUACUGGUCCAGUCCUACACCUCUGUCUCCAGCCAGCACAUCCCACAGAGAGGAGAGAUCGCUGUGAGGUUCCACAACUCCUCACACUCUGUGCAUACUGUACCAACCGCUACAGCCCCACCGCUAAAUACAUUGUCACUGUGGAGAUCAUGCAGAAGGAUACAACUCUAAUGCAUGGCUAACAGUGUCAACUAGCAGCAAUUUAAUAUUAGAGUACAACAAGGCUGUGAUUCAAACAUUGCAACAUCAUUUGUAGAGCUUUAUACAAUAAUAGCAAGUGCAUUUAGGUGUGUCGAAGUUCCAGUGUACUUAUAUGAUGUGUGUUUAACAGAGGUGUGUACUCGAGUCACAUGACUUGGACUCGAGUCACAAAUAUGAUGACUUGCAACUCGACUUUCACUUUACACCAAUGACUCGUGACUUAACUUGGACUUGAGCCUUUUGACUCAAACUGACUUGAUACUGUCCCCAAGCCCAAAUGUAAAAAAUGAUGCUAUUAAAAAAAGUGUGCAGCGCAUCAACUCUUAAUUUAAUGGAUUACAGUUUGAAUCGGACAGCAGCCAAUCAAAUUGUGCCAGCUGAGAAAAGGUUGCGCGUGGCAGUGCAGAGGAACGUCGGCGAGUGAAUUCAGAUGGAGCCCUUGGAAAGAUGAUACCCAAAAUUAUUAUUAUUUCGGAUAUAAAGACUAUGCUGUAUCAACAAAAAACGGAUUGCAACUUGCAAAACAUGCGGGAAGAAAAUUACAGACGGAGGCGCAACAACUUCCAACUUUGUUCGAC